GGGCCGGUAGAACAGAUGGUAGGUUCGCUGGCUUCGCAAGCCAGAGGUCGGGGGUUCAAGUCCCCCCCGGUCCACCA
RNAcentral lists this transfer RNA (77 nucleotides) under archaeon. RNAcentral's name for it is "tRNA-Ala". It matches the Rfam family "tRNA". From Rfam's summary of the family: Transfer RNA (tRNA) molecules are approximately 80 nucleotides in length. RNAcentral also lists the same sequence under 1 other name. The record is from RNAcentral.